UACGUAGGGGGCAAGCGUUAUCCGGAUUUACUGGGUGUAAAGGGAGCGUAGACGGCUGUGCAAGCCAGAUGUGAAAGCCCGGGGCUCAACCCCGGGACUGCAUUUGGAACUGCGUGGCUCGAGUGUCGGAGAGGCAGGCGGAAUUCCUAGUGUAGCGGUGAAAUGCGUAGAUAUUAGGAGGAACACCAGUGGCGAAGGCGGCCUGCUGGGCUUUAACUGACGUUGAGGCUCGAAAGCGUGGGGAGCAAACAGG
Molecule: ribosomal RNA, 253 nt
Filed under: uncultured bacterium
Lineage: Bacteria
Description: partial 16S ribosomal RNA
Rfam family: Bacterial small subunit ribosomal RNA
Source: RNAcentral